Molecule: ribosomal RNA, 560 nt
Filed under: Nakaseomyces glabratus
Lineage: Eukaryota; Fungi; Ascomycota; Saccharomycetes; Saccharomycetales; Saccharomycetaceae
Description: [Candida] glabrata partial 26S ribosomal RNA
Rfam family: Eukaryotic large subunit ribosomal RNA
Source: RNAcentral
AUGCUUUAUACGGCGAGUGAGCGGCAAAGCUCAAUUUGAAUCUGGUACCUUUGGUGCCCGAGUUGUAAUUUGGAGAGUACCACUUUGGGACUGUACUUUGCCUAUGUUCCUUUGGAACAGGACGUCAUGGAGGGUGAGAAUCCCGUGUGGCGAGGGUGUCAGUUCUUUGUAAAGGGUGCUCGAAGAGUCGAGUUGUUUGGGAAUGCAGCUCUAAGUGGGGGGUAAAUUCCAUCUAAAGCUAAAUACAGGCGAGAGGACCGAUAAGCGAACAAGUACAGUGAUGGAAAGAUGAAAAAGAACUUUGAAAAAGAAGAUUGAAAAAGUACUUGAAUUUGUUGAAGGGAAGGGCCUUUGUGACCAGACUUGGUGUUUUUGGCGCCCCUUGCCCCUCGUGGGGCUGGGGCUCUCCCGACUAUCUGGGGCCACGACUCGUUUUUGGCGGCCGGAAAAAACUAAAAAAGGGGCUCUUUGCCCCCCGGGUGAAAGUGUAAAACCCGGGGAAAACGCCCCCCCGGACCAAAAAAGGGAAAUUUGUUUUUAGGGGGGGGGAAAGGGUUAUG